UACGUAGGGUGCGAGCGUUGUCCGGAAUUACUGGGCGUAAAGAGCUCGUAGGCGGUUUGUCGCGUCGUUUGUGAAAGCUCACAGCUCAACUGUGAGAUUGCAGGCGAUACGGGCAGACUUGAGUACUGCAGGGGAGACUGGAAUUCCUGGUGUAGCGGUGAAAUGCGCAGAUAUCAGGAGGAACACCGGUGGCGAAGGCGGGUUUCUGGGCAGUAACUGACGCUGAGGAGCGAAAGCGUGGGUAGCAAACAGG
This 253-nucleotide ribosomal RNA is filed under the name uncultured bacterium. RNAcentral's name for it is "partial 16S ribosomal RNA". It matches the Rfam family "Bacterial small subunit ribosomal RNA", at positions 524 to 776 of the family's 1533-position model. The record is from RNAcentral.